This 472-nucleotide ribosomal RNA is filed under the name uncultured bacterium. RNAcentral describes it as "bacterial SSU rRNA". It matches the Rfam family "Bacterial small subunit ribosomal RNA", at positions 355 to 825 of the family's 1533-position model. The record is from RNAcentral.
UGGGGAAUUUUGGACAAUGGGCGCAAGCCUGAUCCAGCCAUGCCGCGUGAGUGAAGAAGGCCUUCGGGUUGUAAAGCUCUUUCGGCGGGGACGAAACGGUUCGUGACAACACCACGGACUAAUGACGGUACCCGCAUAAGAAGCACCGGCUAACUACGUGCCAGCAGCCGCGGUAAUACGUAGGGUGCAUGCGUUAAUCGGAAUUACUGGGCGUAAAGCGUGCGCAGGCGGUUUGUUAAGACAGGUGUGAAAUCCCCGGGCUUAACCUGGGAAUUGCGCUUGUAACUGGCAGGCUAGAGUGUGGCAGAGGGGGGUGGAAUUCCACGUGUAGCAGUGAAAUGCGUAGAUAUGUGGAGGAACACCGAUGGCGAAGGCAGCCCCCUGGGUUAACACUGACGCUCAUGCACGAAAGCGUGGGGAGCAAACAGGAUUAGAUACCCCAGUAGUCCCUGAGCGGGCUGGCAAGGCGCAU